UACGGAGGGUGCAAGCGUUGUCCGGAUUUAUUGGGUUUAAAGGGUGCGCAGGCGGAUAUGUAAGUCAGUGGUGAAAUCUCCGGGCUUAACCCGGAAACUGCCGUUGAUACUAUAUAUCUUGAAUGCUGUGGAGGUAAGCAGAAUAUGUCAUGUAGCGGUGAAAUGCUUAGAGAUGACAUAGAAUACCUAUUGCGAAGGCAGCUUACUACGCAGAUAUUGACGCUCAUGCACGAAAGCGUGGGGAUCAAACAGG
Molecule: ribosomal RNA, 253 nt
Filed under: uncultured bacterium
Lineage: Bacteria
Description: partial 16S ribosomal RNA
Rfam family: Bacterial small subunit ribosomal RNA
Source: RNAcentral